CUGAGAUGAGCUCAGCUGGUUAGAGCAUGGUGCUAAUAACACCAAGGUUGUGGGUUUGAUCCCUUCACUUAAGA
This 74-nucleotide transfer RNA is filed under the name Lepidothrix coronata (blue-crowned manakin). It matches the Rfam family "tRNA". From Rfam's summary of the family: Transfer RNA (tRNA) molecules are approximately 80 nucleotides in length. The record is from Rfam by way of RNAcentral. RNAcentral also lists the same sequence under 1 other name. Lineage: Eukaryota; Metazoa; Chordata; Aves; Passeriformes; Pipridae.